RNAcentral lists this ribosomal RNA (467 nucleotides) under uncultured bacterium. RNAcentral describes it as "partial 16S ribosomal RNA". It matches the Rfam family "Bacterial small subunit ribosomal RNA", at positions 29 to 507 of the family's 1533-position model. The record is from RNAcentral.
ACGAACGCUCGCGGCGUGCUUAACCCAUGCCAGUCGAACGGAAAGGCCCUGCUUUUGUGGGGUGCUCGAGUGGCGAACGGGUGAGUAACACGUGAGUAACCUGCCCUUGACUUUGGGAUAACUUCAGGAAACUGGGGCUAAUACCGGAUAGGAGCUCCUGCUGCAUAGUGGGGGUUGGAAAGUUUCGGCGGUUGGGGAUGGACUCGCGGCUUAUCAGCUUGUUGGUGGGGUAGUGGCUUACCAAGGCUUUGACGGGUAGCCGGCCUGAGAGGGUGACCGGCCACAUUGGGACUGAGAUACGGCCCAGACUCCUACGGGAGGCAGCAGUGGGGAAUAUUGCACAAUGGGCGGAAGCCUGAUGCAGCAACGCCGCGUGCGGGAUGACGGCCUUCGGGUUGUAAACCGCUUUCGCCUGUGACGAAGCGUGAGUGACGGUAAUGGGUAAAGAAGCACCGGCUAACUACGUG